UUUAUUUUUCAUUAUGACAAUAACCUUACACUGAUUACUUAUGAUUAAUACAACAACACCAAGCUCGAACAUUUUCUGGAAUUGCCAUACAAUAGCCCCCCUUGGGAUAGUUCUUUCUGCAGUCUAGAUCGCAUUCUGGAGUAUUAGUACAUGGUUUUAUGCAAUCGUACCCUGAACUUAAAAAACCAUUUCAUGUUCCUGCAAUCAAAAUGUGUUAAAAAGUAUUUGACAAUUUUAAGGUUAAUUGUUACAAUUUGUUUCUAUUGACAAUAGCAUUCAUAAACCUAGUAUUCAUAAACCUAGUACAAAAUGCGAAUCAAACCAAAAAGGAUUACAAAAUCUCAUUGUUAUCAUCCUCCAUCCAAUAGUAACUAGUUCUAAAAAGAACCUUCUCUUUAUUUUAAAUGAAAACCCAUGAGUUUAACUUAAGAGAAAAUAAUAAACCUUUUCUGUUGUGGAGAAUCAACAAUGAAUAUGAAAAGCCAAGAUACAGCGUCUACAUACAUUGAUUACAAUAAAAGAACACUAGAAUAAUAACUAUACAAAGAUGCACUCUUCUUUGGAGAUGAAACUAACAAUACCUGCGCCUAUAAUCAAGAAAAGAGACAAAAUCAACAAAAUAAAUGUUUUGUAGUUGUGACAAGCCAU
RNAcentral lists this long non-coding RNA (648 nucleotides) under Lupinus angustifolius (narrow-leaved blue lupine). RNAcentral describes it as "long non-coding RNA (LANG_LNC002262)". The record is from RNAcentral. Lineage: Eukaryota; Viridiplantae; Streptophyta; Magnoliopsida; Fabales; Fabaceae.